AAAUUGAAGAGUUUGAUCAUGGCUCAGAUUGAACGCUGGCGGCAGGCCUAACACAUGCAAGUCGAACGGUAACAGGAAACAGCUUGCUGUUUCGCUGACAAGUGGCGGACGGGUGAGUAAUGUCUGGGAAACUGCCUGAUGGAGGGGGAUAACUACUGGAAACGGUAGCUAAUACCGCAUAACGUCGCAAGACCAAAGAGGGGGACCCUCGGGCCUCUUGCCAUCGGAUGUGCCCAGAUGGGAUUAGCUUGUUGGUGGGGUAACGGCUCACC
This 272-nucleotide ribosomal RNA is filed under the name Escherichia coli. RNAcentral's name for it is "partial 16S ribosomal RNA". It matches the Rfam family "Bacterial small subunit ribosomal RNA", at positions 1 to 269 of the family's 1533-position model. The record is from RNAcentral. Lineage: Bacteria; Pseudomonadati; Pseudomonadota; Gammaproteobacteria; Enterobacterales; Enterobacteriaceae.